RNAcentral lists this ribosomal RNA (497 nucleotides) under uncultured bacterium. RNAcentral describes it as "partial 16S ribosomal RNA". It matches the Rfam family "Bacterial small subunit ribosomal RNA", at positions 28 to 507 of the family's 1533-position model. The record is from RNAcentral.
GAUGAACGCUGGCGGCGUGCCUAAUACAUGCAAGUCGAGCGAACGGACGAGAAGCUUGCUUCUCUGAUGUUAGCGGCGGACGGGUGAGUAACACGUGGAUAACCUACCUAUAAGACUUGGAUAACUUCGGGAAACCGGAGCUAAUACCGGAUAAUAUUUUGAACCGCAUGGUUCAAAAGUGAAAGACGGUCUUGCUGACACUUAUAGAUGGAUCCGCGGUGCAUUAGCUAGUUGGUAAGGUAACGGCUUACCAAGGCAACGAUGCAUAGCCGACCUGAGAGGGUGAUCGGCCACACUGGAACUGAGACACGGUCCAGACUCCUACGGGAGGCAGCAGUAGGGAAUAUUCGGCAAUGGGCGCAAGCCUGACGGAGCCACGCCGCGUGAGUGAUGAAGGUCUUCGGAUCGUAAAACUCUGUUAUUAGGGAAGAAAAUAUGUGUAAGUAACUGUGCACAUCUUGACGGUACCUAAACAGAAAGCCACGGCUAACUACGUG